UACAGAGGGUGCAAGCGUUGUUCGGAAUUACUGGGCGUAAAGCGUGCGUAGGUGGUUUGUUAAGUCUGUUGUGAAAGCCCCGGGCUCAACCUGGGAAUGGCAAUGGAUACUGGCAAGCUAGAGUGCGGUAGAGGGUAGUGGAAUUCCCGGUGUAGCGGUGAAAUGCGUAGAGAUCGGGAGGAACACCAGUGGCGAAGGCGGCUACCUGGACCAGCACUGACACUGAGGCACGAAAGCGUGGGGAGCAAACAGG
This 253-nucleotide ribosomal RNA is filed under the name uncultured bacterium. Its description in RNAcentral is "partial 16S ribosomal RNA". It matches the Rfam family "Bacterial small subunit ribosomal RNA", at positions 524 to 776 of the family's 1533-position model. The record is from RNAcentral.